GCUGACGAGUGGCGGACGGGUGAGUAAUGUCUGGGAAACUGCCUGAUGGAGGGGGAUAACUACUGGAAACGGUGGCUAAUACCGCAUAACGUCGCAAGACCAAAGAGGGGGACCUUCGGGCCUCUUGCCAUCAGAUGUGCCCAGAUGGGAUUAGCUUGUUGGUGAGGUAACGGCUCACCAAGGCGACGAUCCCUAGCUGGUCUGAGAGGAUGACCAGCCACACUGGAACUGAGACACGGUCCAGACUCCUACGGGAGGCAGCAGUGGGGAAUAUUGCACAAUGGGCGCAAGCCUGAUGCAGCCAUGCCGCGUGUAUGAAGAAGGCCUUCGGGUUGUAAAGUACUUUCAGCGGGGAGGAAGGUGUUGUGGUUAAUAACCACAGCAAUUGACGUUACCCGCAGAAGAAGCACCGGCUAACUCCGUGCCAGCAGCCGCGGUAAUACGGAGGGUGCAAGCGUUAAUCGGAAUUACUGGGCGUAAAGCGCACGCAGGCGGUCUGUCAAGUCGGAUGUGAAAUCCCCGGGCUCAACCUGGGAACUGCAUUCGAAACUGGCAGGCUUGAGUCUUGUAGAGGGGGGUAGAAUUCCAGGUGUAGCGGUGAAAUGCGUAGAGAUCUGGAGGAAUACCGGUGGCGAAGGCGGCCCCCUGGACAAAGACUGACGCUCAGGUGCGAAAGCGUGGGGAGCAAACAGGAUUAGAUACCCUGGUAGUCCACGCCGUAAACGAUGUCUACUUGGAGGUUGUGCCCUUGAGGCGUGGCUUCCGGAGCUAACGCGUUAAGUAGACCGCCUGGGGAGUACGGCCGCAAGGUUAAAACUCAAAUGAAUUGACGGGGGCCCGCACAAGCGGUGGAGCAUGUGGUUUAAUUCGAUGCAACGCGAAGAACCUUACCUGGUCUUGACAUCCACAGAAGAAUCCAGAGAUGGAUUUGUGCCUUCGGGAACUGUGAGACAGGUGCUGCAUGGCUGUCGUCAGCUCGUGUUGUGAAAUGUUGGGUUAAGUCCCGCAACGAGCGCAACCCUUAUCCUUUGUUGCCAGCGGUUAGGCCGGGAACUCAAAGGAGACUGCCAGUGAUAAACUGGAGGAAGGUGGGGAUGACGUCAAGUCAUCAUGGCCCUUACGACCAGGGCUACACACGUGCUACAAUGGCGCAUACAAAGAGAAGCGACCUCGCGAGAGCAAGCGGACCUCAUAAAGUGCGUCGUAGUCCGGAUUGGAGUCUGCAACUCGACUCCAUGAAGUCGGAAUCGCUAGUAAUCGUGGAUCAGAAUGCCACGGUGAAUACGUUCCCGGGCCUUGUACACACCGCCCGUCACACCAUGGGAGUGGGUUGCAAAAGAAGUAGGUAGCUUAACCUUCGGGAGGGCGCUUACCACUUUGUGAUUCAUGACUGGGGUGAAGUCGUAACAAGGUAACCGUAGGGGAACCUGCGGUUGGAUCACCUCCUUA
RNAcentral lists this ribosomal RNA (1449 nucleotides) under Salmonella enterica. RNAcentral's name for it is "bacterial SSU rRNA". It matches the Rfam family "Bacterial small subunit ribosomal RNA". Lineage: Bacteria; Pseudomonadati; Pseudomonadota; Gammaproteobacteria; Enterobacterales; Enterobacteriaceae. RNAcentral also lists the same sequence under 3 other names. The record is from RNAcentral.